UUUUUUUUUUGUGCUAUAUAGCUGUUUUUAGGUUGAAUUUCCGGCUUGAUUUCUUCUUUCUUUCGAUCUAAGGUAUCUGUUUCUUGCUAUUCUUCUCCAUGAAUGAAGUAUGGGUAGAAUGUUGGUUGAUAAAAAAAGGUAGCUUUUGGACCAAAAGGAGAUGUUCUUUCUCUCUUCUGACUGUCCUGCUAUGUAUAAAGCUUGGUUGUUGUUAAAAUCCAGUAUGCCUUUUGAUAUUGGCCUUUUCGUUUACACAAGAUGGAUGAAUGAAUUGAUUAACCCUCAAUUACUGGUUAAAUAUGUUUUGUUCUCUUUCUUCGUCUUUUUUCCAUGUGUAGGUAGUCUUCUAACUGUCUAUUGAGCUGUAACUUGUCUUCAGUUCUUCUUAGCACUUGUUUAUUUUAAAUACCACUUUGAAAGUCACCUUAUACCUCACCUUCUAGUUUUGAUUUAAUAUAUUUUAUCUGGCAACCAAUUGAACAAAAAUUGUUGAAGGUAUUUACAUUUUUUGUAUUGCUACGCAUAGACACGUUUUAGCAAUACAAUUAUAUUCUUUGUUCCUUGAGUGGAUUUAUUCCUUUUUUUAACAUAUUGUAGAAGUCAUAUGGGCGUUUGAAUUUGGAUUCAGGUUGUCCCUUGUGCAGUACUAGCUCUGUGUAUUCAUCCAACAACUUCCCAUAAUCUAUUGAACCAGAUUUCCUGGGCAUUCUGUGCAUAUCUGGAAGCAGUUUCAAUUUUACCUCAGUUGCGAGUGAUGCAAAACACCAAGGUAAAAAUUACUUAGAUGGCAGAUUUAAUUUUAUAAAUAAGGUUUAUAAGAUCACCAUGUUUAACUCACUUUUUGUGCUUUCAGAUUGUUGAGCCUUUUACAGCUCAUUAUGUGUUUGCGUUGGGUGUUGCAAGGUAAUAAUAUUAUCCCGUCUAAAUAAAACAGUUACUUAAUAUUUGCAUUUCAACUUGAGGUAUUAUUCAAGUAAGGUAAAUGAAAAGGGCCAUACUUUGUUAACAUUUCGUUUUUGACUCAUAUACCAUGGUAGUCUCAAGUUCAACUCUGUUAUAAUUAAUAAUAACAAGAAGCAUGUACAAAUAUGAAUUCUCUCCUUUAAAUGGAUUCUGAAUUCUUCAAACUCAUGUACAAAUAUGAAUUCCCUCCUUUAAAUGGAUUCUAAAUAACCACUCGAUGAAUUCUCUACACUGUUGAUUUUGCAAAUAUGCAUGUUAUGAUUUUCAGGGGCAAAGUUCUUUGUAGUUUGUGAACCUGGGACACAGCACAUGGAGGCUCUCUUGAAAGUUGUUUAUGAGCUCUAAACAGAUUAUGUUUUGAAAAACCCCUUCUAUGAGAUGGAGAUGCCCAUAUGAUUCGAACUCUUUGACAUCAACCUGACACAAGCAGUACAGAAGGAUCGUGUUGCGCUUUUGGGGCGGUAAGCUGUCCUGGAACCUUUAUCUUACCAAAAUGUCACCAUCUCUUAUCUUCAUCCGUACACUUUUGAUGGAAGAUUGCUAUCAAGUUUGUAUAAACCUGUGUAUUGGGAUAUCAUCAAGCUCCUUUGUUUAGCUCAUAAGUGCUGAAUUAUUUAUAACAUAUGAUGAUUUCUGGAGUUGCUUCUCCCAAUUAACAUUUAUAAAAUUAAUGAAAAAAUCCUUUGAAUUAUUUGUUUGCUAUUGUUUUUCAAUCUUUAUCUAGGAAGAAGUUACAGUAGGGGAGAUCUUAUGAAUGAAACAUUCAUAGUGAAUCAUUUGCAUUCAUACAAAAAUUAAAUUAUAUAUAUUAUGAUUUUAGUAUUAUAUAUUAUGAUUUUAGUAAAUUCAUAUAAGAAUAUUUAAUAUUAAGAAUUUUAUUAAAUUAUAUAUUUUUAUCUAAUUAUAUUUAAUAAUAAUAAUUUUAAAUUAUAUUUUGUAGUAUUAUAUAUUAUGAUUUUAGUAAAUUCAUAUAAUAAUAUUUAAUAUUAAGAAUUUUAUUAAAUUAUAUAUUUUUAUUAAAUUAUAUUAAAUAAAAAUUAUUUUAAAUNNNNNNNNNNNNNNNNNNNNNNNNNNNNNNNNNNNNNNNNNNNNNNNNNNNNNNNNNNNNNNNNNNNNNNNNNNNNNNNNNNNNNNNNNNNNNNNNNNNNUUUUAUUAAUUAUAUAUUUAUUAAAUUAUAUUUAAUAAUAAUAACUUUAAAUUAUAUUUUAUAGUAUUAUAUAUUAUGAUUUUAGUAAAUUCAUAUAAGAAUAUUUAAUAUUAAGAAUUUUAUUAAAUUAUAUUUAAUAAUAAUAACUUUAAAUUAUAUUUUAUAGUAUUAUAUAUUAUGAUUUUAGUAAAUUCAUAUAAGAAUAUUUAAUAUUAAGAAUUUUAUUAAAUUAUAUAUUUUAAUUAAAAUAUAUUUAAUAAUAAUUAUGUUAAAAUAUGAUUAAAUUAUUUAUUAUUGAUAUUAAUAAUCUUAUUAAAAUCUAAUAACAAUAACAAUAAUCAUUUACCUAAACAAAUUUCUGUUAAGGGUAUUCUAGUCAUUUUAGUUUUUUCCCUUAUGUUAUUUCACCUCCAUUUCAUUCAACCAAACACAAGAAUACUAUUACGCCUCUAUUCCAUUACAUUCAACCAAACAAUUGAAUUGCUAUUACGCCUCUAUUCCAUUACGCCUUUAUUCCUUUACGUCUCUAUUCUAAUACAGCGAACCAAACGUGACCUAAAAAUAUUGAGUGAAAUGAUAGUAUUUCUUUUUCUUUUUCUUUUUUUUGACCAAAAAAAUGAUAAUAUUUAAAAGAGAGACAAAUUGUAUAAAUUAGAUUUUAUUAAGGGCCUAUUUGGUUCUCUAAUUUUAUAUAAAAAAUUAUUUUACCUCUUCAUUUGUUAUUUUUACUUUUUUUAGUCCUUAAAUUUUUUUUUGUCGUCCUUAAACCAUGUUGGUUUGUUUACUUUUGUUUUUUCGUUAAUAAGAUCGCUUUACCUUAGAAAAAAUAUUAUGAUUAAACUAAAUACUAAUUAAAAAAGGUAAGGCAUACUGACAACUUUAGCCCAUAUAUCUUUCAUUUAUUUAUCAAUUUGAUCUCUUUUUUUAAAUUAAAUUUGACUCUUAACCUUUUAAAAAGAAUUGAAUUGAUUUUUUUUAAUGGAAAUACUAACCAAUACGUUAAAUUUUUAAACAUUGCAGCCCACAUUGCAAUCUAAAUGUACAUCAUGCUAUUUUUUAAAUUUUUAUGAAGCUUUUAUCCUCUCUUUUUAUUAAUAUUUUUAUAACUUUUAAAAUAUAUAUUGACAUGUAUAUAUGACAAACAGUAUCAUGUUAGAAAAAAAGCAUAUGGAUUAUCACACAAGUUGACACAUCAAAAUUAUUAAAGAAUAUUUUAACCAACAUUUUUGUUAAAAAAUAAUGAUUUAAUUCUUUUUAAAAGAUUAACAACUAAAUUUAACUUAAAAUAAUAAUAAUAAUAAUAAUAAUAAUAAUAAUUAAAGUGAAAAAAAACUGUAAAACUAAAUUUGUCACUGUCCCAAAAUUUAAUGCUACAAACUAUCAUACACUCAUCCUUAUUAUUUUUGGAUUUAAAUAGAAGUGCAUCAACAAACCGAGAUAUUAUUUUGUAGAUUAUUCCUUCUUGGCCUAUUACUUUGAUAUUCAAUAGUGAUUGUAAGACCCAUUUUCUGCCCGGCCCACUAGCAAAACCAACCAACCCAAAAAUAAAAAAUAAAAAUUACAGUCCAUAUGAACUACUUGCCCAAACCCAAUAGGCCCAAAAAUCAGAAACCCUAAGCCCACAAACUUAAAGAUUUUCAGCAAACCCUAGUUGCCUCCCCUAAGCCCUGGCGCCGCAAGCUUCCAUGCGUGGCCUCCUCGUCUGCCACGCCUCCAGCGCACGCCGGCCUACUCGCACGCCUCUGCUAUCGUCUGCACCAACGCAUCUGACACCUGUAAGAGCCAAACAACAAAACGACAAAAACAAUAGAAAUCAAGAGUUUGAAAUCAGCUAUAAAGGCCGAAGCUUGUCAUUGUUUUGCUUCUUCUUCGAUUUUCUUUGUAAAAAAUGCACAUCAGAGAAAUAAAAAUUAAAAAAAGAACAAAAGGUCGCUGCUUUCUUCUUCUUUUUUCGAUUCAUCUAUUUAUUUUAUUUAUCUUUGUUUUUUUUUUAAAAAAAACUAUUAAUAAAGAGGAUAAAAAGGGAAAGGAAUAAACUCACCUGAAUCGGCCCCUGCCGUCGUCGGACGCGAGUUUAGGAAGGGGCAGAGGUUUUCCGAUUUCUCUUCGUUUCCCCAUUUCGGAGCAUGGGUCUCUGAACGCGCUCCAAAGCGCUGGUGGGAGACGCCCUCGCAUGGCUCCAGCCACCGGGCGGUGGGGAGGCGUGGGCUUCUGGGCCUGGAACCCAAGCAGAAAAAGGGAAACCUCCCUUUUAUUUUUCUGUGUUCUUUGCAAGAGAAUGAAACAGCAGAAAAAUGAGUAAAAUUUUUGCUUUUAUGGAUGAUAAAACGACGCCGUUUGGUGGGGGAAAUCUGCGCAUGCUUUGCCCUAAUGGGUAAUUUAUGCAUUUAGUCCCUCCAUCUUGCGUUGAAGUGCAAUCCAACCUUUUAUUUCUUUUCGAUUUGGGCCGCGAGUUUUGUUUCUGCUUCAAUCAGGUCCUUUGACCAUGUAUGGUCCUUUGCGCUGAAACGUUGCACUCUAGGACUGGGGCAUAUUGCCCGAUUAGUCCUUCAUUCUUCGCGCGCGCCCCAUUUUAAUCCCUUGUGACCUGUUUAUGGUUUUCGCAAUUAAAACCCCCAAGUUCUGAUUCGAUUUCAGUAUCAUCCCUGGUCCAUUUAAUUUAUUUGUUUGUUUUUUAUUCAAAAAACUCUUUUAUUAUUAUUUUUGUUAUUAUUUAUCAUUUAUGGUAAAUUGUUUUACAUGCUAUUUAUUUAAUUCUCUUAAUAGGUUAUUCAUUUUAAACCAUUAUAUAUAUAUUUUUUAAAUGUUGUAUGUCUUUUAUUUAUUUGUUUUAAACUAUUAUUAUUUAUUUUUAAGUUUUUAUAUGUUGUUUAUUUGAAGCCUUUUAUUAUUUAUUUUUAAAUUGUUGUUGUAAAUUAUUUAUUUUAAAUUAUUAUUUACUUUGAAUUGAUUUGCAUGAUAUUGUGUUUUGUUUACUUCGAUUGUUAAUGUUAGUAUUAAAAUGAUAUACAUUAUGCGUUUAUUGCCAUCAUGUGCUCUUUUGUUUUUGCAUAUUUGUCAUUCAUUAUUGUAACAUUUUAUUUAUAAGUUGUCAUUCUAUGUUCUAUAUAAGCAUCCUAUCAUUCCAUCAUUUUUAAAAUGGCACUUAAUGUAUUUUUAUAUACCCAUAAUAAACCAUUUUAUUUUAUCACAAAACAAAUUCACCUCGUACAAGUGUUGCACAUGUCAUUAUUCAAAAAGAAAAAUUUUAAAAUAAGGCAAUAUCUCGCGUUUUAGGAAAUUCGAAGAAUUGUACCCUAACUUACUGGGUCUCGAUUUUCUCGUUAAACCUAAAUAGCAAAAUAUCCUUUUAAAUUUCCAAACGCAUAAAAUUUCAAAAAUAAAGGUAAUAUUCUAUAUUUAGAAAAUUCGAGAAAUCGUGCCCUAACUUACUGGGUUUCGAUUUUUCUCGUAUUGAACCUAAAUAACUGAAUAUCCUUUUAAAAUUGAAAUGAAUGAGGUUUAAAUAAAAAUAAAAUGCAAGCUUACUCUCAAAAAAGACGAGGUGUCGUGUCCUAACUUACUGGAUGUGACAUCUUGUUACUUCGAGAUAAGGAGGCAUUUUCCAUUUUGAUUUAUUCGAGUAAUUUUAAAAUAACACAAUAAAGAGAGAUCGUAUAUUUAAAUUCUUUUCGAGUUUUUAAUUUUCGACACCAAGACAUUAACUAAUCAACUAGGUACCAAUUUUUGGGCGUUACGAGGGUGCUAAUCCUUCCUCGUACGUAACCGACUCCCGAACCUGUUUUUUCUGAAUUUCGUGGACCAAAAUCGUUAUUUUAAUAAAAUUAAAUCGUUUAUUAAAAACAACCACUUUUCAAGGUGAUCCGAUCACACCUUAUCAAAAAAAAAAAUUGGUGGCGACUCCUAUAUUCGUUUUCUUUUUCAAAAUCCAAGUCGACCCAUUUUUAUCAAAAAAAUAGUGUCAACAGUGAUGUAAAAAUAUUUUUCCAAAUCACUAAAAUUUUGGCAGCUCAUUCAACUUCCUUCUUGGCCUAUUACUUUCUACCUGCAACCUUUGUUCCCCACAUUCUUUUCUUGCGAAGCCAAAACAACUACGAAACAAGUGACGAUGAAGAGUUUGAAGAAGAAGAAAAUGGGUAGGAUGGAGACCCCAUGGCUACCACGCCACUUAUAAGACCCAAGUCGAGAUCUGGUAAUUGGACGUCGAACGACAAUAACCACUUAACCAGCUCCUUUUUUCACAUUGCUCAUUUGGGGUUUUUUGGUUUUAAAAUUUGUUAAGUAACUAAAUCUUAUGAAUCUGUUGAUUUUGGGAUUUUCUAUUUCUUUUAUGAACAGAUUUAGAGAAUCAAAUGGAGGGAAAUGUUUAUUCCAACAUUAAAAAAUUACUAUUUUUUAAAUAAGAAAAUAUUGCUACUAUUCUUGAAAUUGUAUUUGAAUGUUUGAUUAUUAUGUUCUCUUGUUUGUCCAAAAGGAGAUUUUUAUUUUAUGAAUGCGUUGAUUAAAACUGUAGGAGAAAGUGACGAUCCGAUUACUUUAGCCAUGUUAGAUGAAGAAAAUAUAUGCUUAAAUGCUUUUUUCAUAUUUAAAAUCUGGGUAGGAAGAGGAAAAACAAAAAUGUAACAGGCAAGAAGGAAGGUGAGUGAGACGGCAAUAUAUUUUAGUGAUGCGUAAAAAUAUUCUUACACUGUAAUUCAUUAUUAAUGGUACAUACAUAAUAAUUUCAGAAAAUUUCGAAAAGUUAAAAAUAAUUUAAUUGUUGUGUUUGAAUAAUUUUUCUUUCACAAAUUAAAAAAUUGGGAUCACCCGAAUUAAGAUAUCUUUUUUAUUUAAUUUAUAAUUAAUUUUAUUUUUUUAUGAUGUAAAAAUAAAUAUAAAUCAGUGAAAAUAACUUUAAAAUAUUAUAUAAAAGUUAUUGUUUAAAAAAUAGUAUAUAAGAUUUAUUGAUUAUUUAUUAUUUACUUGAAAAAUAAUUUUAAAAAACAUUUAUAAAAAGAUUCUAAAUUUUUAUCAAAUAAUAUUAAAAAAUUUAAAAAAAAAGAAAAACUAAUUUUGUCAAAAUAAAAUUCAAAAUGUAAAAUUAAGAUUAAAAAACUAAAAAUCAAACCAUUAAAAAAACUCAAUUAAAUCAAAUAGAAUCAACUCAAUCCUGUUUAAUAAUUAGAAUGUUUACUGGGUGAAUCUUAAUUCAUUUGAUAUUAAUAUUAUUAUCUAAAAUUGUAUUUAGGAGUUGGAAUGGAUACUUUUUUUAUACCUACAAACGUAAAUAAACUAAGAAAAAAAGUGCGCAUUGCAUGCUUGUAUAUUUCAACAAAAAGAAAAUAUUAUAUCUCCAACAUUAAGCAAGUUCUUCUUCCCCUCACAUUUGUUCACCCAUAAUGGGAACAUCGGUGUAUCUUUUAUUGAUAACUGUGAUCCAACCAAAAGAAAAAGCAGGAGAUUGAUUUAUUAGUAGACUAAGACGUAGCGACAUAUAUGCAUCAUAGUUGAAAGGGAUACAGGGAAACCAUACGUACAGCAAAAAGCAAAGUAAGAAACAGAUAAGACUCCACAAAAGUAGCAACCUUUACGAUUCGAAUAAUGAAUAGGGCGUUUACUGUCAUAGAUAGGUUGAUAAACAUCAAUGUUUUUUACAAUAAGGGCUAUUACCGUUACAAUUAGUAUUAUGUUUAUCUGGCUUUGGUGGUGGAAGACAAUUCGAAUAACUAGGACCGCAGUUCUUCUGACUUAUUGCCGGCUUACCCUUUGUAAGCGUGCCGUAAGCUAUUUUACCGACAUUUUUAACGUCCCCGAGGAUUCUGAUAACGGUAGAAUCUAUCAUCAACAAAUCCAGCUCCGACUCCAAUUCUUCCCGGAUACCGCAGCCGCCGAGAAGGCCAUUGCACUGGUAAGUGGCGUUGCUCCUCAGUACUAGGACGGCGUCUCUGCCGCUAAUUGGUUUCAGGAGAAUCAUCAUCAUCACUAACCCCACACAUAACUCACGAAACCCCAUUUUCUUUUUCCUUUGUUUCUCCUCGCCCCGGAAUAGGAAAGCGGCCUGCCC
Molecule: long non-coding RNA, 8154 nt
Filed under: Gossypium raimondii (Peruvian cotton)
Lineage: Eukaryota; Viridiplantae; Streptophyta; Magnoliopsida; Malvales; Malvaceae
Description: long non-coding RNA (GRAI_LNC000649)
Source: RNAcentral